This 468-nucleotide ribosomal RNA is filed under the name uncultured bacterium. Its description in RNAcentral is "partial 16S ribosomal RNA". It matches the Rfam family "Bacterial small subunit ribosomal RNA", at positions 28 to 507 of the family's 1533-position model. The record is from RNAcentral.
GACGAACGCUGGCGGCGUGCUUAACACAUGCAAGUCGAACGGAAAGGCCCUGCUUUUGUGGGGUGCUCGAGUGGCGAACGGGUGAGUAACACGUGAGUAACCUGCCCUUGACUUUGGGAUAACUUCAGGAAACUGGGGCUAAUACCGGAUAGGAGCUCCUGCUGCAUGGUGUGGGUUGGAAAGUUUCGGCGGUUGGGGAUGGACUCGCGGCUUAUCAGCUUGUUGGUUGGGUAGUGGCUUACCAAGGCUUUGACGGGUAGCCGGCCUGAGCGGGUGACCGGGCACAUUGGGACUGAGAUACGGCCCAGACUCCUACGGGAGGCAGCAGUGGGGAAUAUUGCACAAUGGGCGGAAGCCUGAUGCAGCAACGCCGCGUGCGAGAUGACGGCCUUCGGGUUGUAAACCGCUUUCGCAUGUGACGAAGCGUGAGUGACGGUAAUGGGUAAAGAAGCACCGGCUAACUACGUG